Molecule: long non-coding RNA, 4655 nt
Organism: Orcinus orca (killer whale)
Lineage: Eukaryota; Metazoa; Chordata; Mammalia; Artiodactyla; Delphinidae
Exons: 3
Source: RefSeq, a predicted model, not a curated record
GCUCCCAGACAGACACGUUGACACUGGGGGCUGGACCAGGGGCUGCCUGGGGUUGUUCCGUUUGCCGGCUGCCGAGAGCUUUCCAGGAGCGCAGGAGCGCUUCUGGUGGGGAUCCUGAGGGUCAGAGCAGCUGCCACCGUCCCAGGGGCUCCGAGGGGAGGUGGAGAGAGGGAGCAGGUCUCUCACUGGCUCUCACUAACAAGACCACUGCCCUCGGUUGUCCCGGCUCUGCACCGAGCCCUGUACCUGCUGGACACGGCGUCUGUCUUGCAGCUGAGACGUGAGAGCCCUGGGGCUUCAGUGGGGAGGCUGCUCUGCCUUCAGAGGGGCCCACGGCAGGCCAGCUCCUUCCCCGGUGCCUGGAAGGUUUUGGAGAAAUUUCUCCUUCCUCUUUUAUUCAGAAGUCCCAUUGCCCUACAUACGACUCGAUUAAGCGUUCAGGAGGGACUGUGCCAGAAAACAGAUCCAAGCUGGAGCAUCAGGGGCCCCUCCGGACUCCGAGAAAUUGACACCUUGGCUUUCCCUCUUGUGCUGGGGCCUGGGGUUCGGUCUGCAGCUCCUGUCCCUCACUCCACACGCCCCCACGUCCUGCGGGCUCUCCCUGCCGGCUAUGAGUCAAGGCCGCCGCACUUUGCCAUCAUCCCUCCCUCCCCGCCCCGGCUCACGAUGUUACCGUCUGUCAUCAGCAAGGGGUCACAGCCUCCUGGUUGGUCUCCCUGCCCCUCCUUGCGCCUCAAUCCAUUCUUUCUCCAGCUAUUAGACUGAUCUUCAAAUGCAACUCUCAAAAAACUCUAACCCAACUAAAAACCCUUCAAAGGCUCCCCCUACAGAGUUCUCCGGCCCCGGGGCUGGGAGGUGGAGGCAUCUACAGCUCCCCGGUCCUGCCCUUCACACCAACAGCACGCUCCCGGCGCCCUCGGCCCAGCGCCCGCGGGGGUCCACUGCUCCUGCUGCCCCCUCUGCCGCCAAGAGUCCCCUUCCUCCUUCCACCACCUGCCUGCCCUCUCGCCACCCCCAACCCCUGGCCGAGCUCAUCCUACAAGGCUCAGCUCAGACCUCACCUGCUCCGGGCAGGGCUAAGCACUUCCCUAGUACAAAUACUUCAUGGUAGCAGCUGCAACAAAAUGCAGGACUUAGCGGUGAAUCUGGUUGUGCUUCUUCCUCCUGCACCCUCCUGAGUUCAAGGGCAAACAAUGCGUCUUAUUAAAUUUUGCAUCUACCACCAGUUUCUGGAAAGUAAUACUCAUUAAUUAGGAACUUACCGUUUCCACACAGAGCUUAAAACCCCCAACAUGCAUUUCUUGUUCCUUGUAUCAACAACAAACCUACAAGGGAGGCUGGUGUGGUUAGUUUCAGCCCCACUUUAUGGAUGAGGCGGCCCAAAGGCAGACUGGUAGGAAGUCUUAAUCCAGGUUUUGUCUGACACCCAUGUCUCUGGGUCGAACCCUCACUCUACCGGUUAAAAUGAGCUGUUGAAAUCACUAGAAGUGAAAGCUUUCCAACAGGGCCCCCUGACCAUAAAGUCACUCCUCAGAAACUCCCAAGACGGGAGGCAAGUCCUUUGUGACUUACCUGAUAGGCUUGAUAACAGAGAGCUAAGAUGGCAAAACAGCCAGGUGGACGGAAUUGCAGCCCAUUCCACGGAGAGAGGGAACACACAGUCUGUUCCACCCUUUGAAGGAGUCGGGAGGAGUAGGUGGCUGCCGUAGAAGUAGCCGUGAAAAGAAAACAGCUAAAAUUGUAAUGAAUCCUUAAAAGCUGAACGCAGGCUGGCGUGAACAUUUCGAAUCCUCGGGAGCCUCAGACACAAGGAGAGCCCAGAAUCCUUCAGCAGCUCUUUCCCACAAGCCUCUGCUGCUUGUUUACUAGAGAGAGAGAGAGAGAGAGAGAGAGACCAAAAGGCACCACAUAUGAAGAGAGUUGACAUUAAUGAGGGUUGCACUCAGCUACUCCACCUGUGUUUCCUUUUAUUUCAAAAAGACCUUUUUUUUCAAAAUUAAUUAAUCCAUUAAAAAAUAGUUUAAACCACCACAGAACUAUAUAGGACAGGAAAUGAUAAAAAUAAUAAACAUACCCUUCCAUGUCCCCGACGCUUCUAGCUAUAAAGUAUUUCAUGGUAAUGAUGCACCAUAGUUCAAAUGUUGCUCCUGUUUAUAGAUACUUUGGUUGUUUUAAAAAACUCCUUUACAAAAAAAUGCUGCAAUAACUGUCCUUAUCCAGAUAGCCUUAUGCCCAUGAGUAUUUCUAUAACACAGAUACGUAGAUAAAAAUGAAAUUAUUCAGCCAAAGCCAUGAUAUUCAGCAAUUUUGAUUAAUGCUGCCAAUUCAACAAAGCUGUUCCUAUUUACAACCAAUUCUACUUUCUUUGGGAGCCCAGGAGCCUACGCAUUUCUUCCCACCCACCAGUCCUGGACGUGACUAAUCUAUUCAAUUUUUACAACCUGGGAGGGGGAUCUCAUUAUGCUAUUUCAAUUCCUAUUCCUUUUAUUACUAUUGAGGAUGGGCAUCUUAUGUUUUUAUUAGCCAUUUGUAUUUGAAAAUUGAGUUCUUUUUCUUAUUGCCUUACUAUAGUAGAAUCUUAAUAUGUUCUGGAUAAUAAGCUCUUGGGUGUUAUAUAUACUGCAGACUUUUCUCCUAAUCCUUUGCUUGUGUUUUAGUUUUGCUAAUGGUGCCUUUCUUUAAGAAAUACAACAAAUGUUUAGCAAUUACAUUUUUCAGUAAUUUUUUUCAUGGCAUCUGGGUUUUAUAUCCCCUUAGAUGGACCUUCUCUGCCACAAAUCAGCAAAUUACGUGUUCUAUAUUUUCAUCUAAAACUUUUAUAAUUUUGUUGGUCUGUUUAGGCUUUAAAUCCAUCUGUCAUUUUUUGGUUUUGGUUCACAAAUUACAAAUCCAAUUUUAUGUUUAUGUUUCCAACCGGAUGAUGAGUGGCACAUUAUCAUUUGUUAAAUGAUUGGUUCUUUUCCCAUCUUUCUGAAUUGACUUUUAGUGUGUAUUAAAUUACACACAAAAUGGGUCUGUUUCAGUUUUGUCUAUUUUAUUCUAUUGAUCUUUUUAUCUAUACCUAUAGAAACACCACACUGCAUUAACUGGUACUGAUUUAUAGUAUGUUUUAUUAUUUGUUUGGACAAGGGAUGCCCCCAUCAUUGAUCUUAUGUUAAUUAUGCUUGUACAUUUUCUCUUCCAGAUGAAGUUUGAAAUCACUUUGUUAACCUUCAUAAAGACUUUGUGUUUUGAUUAUGAUUGCAUCGAAUUUAUAUUUGGGAGAAGAAUGGUCAUAUUCACAAUAUUAAGUCUUCCUAUCCCAGAAUGUGUCAUAAAGUUAUAUAUAUUUCCAUUUGUUCAAGUCUCUUUUUAUGUCCCCAUUAUAUUCUAUAAUUGGUGAAUGCUGGUAUUAGGACAACAAUUUUGAAAUUCUGUAAUCCCAAGCCUGCAUUCUUAAGUGUAUUUUAUGUCAAAUAUACUUUAGCUAAAUUUGGGCUACCUAUGUGUGUGUGUGUAUGUGUAUGUGUAUAGACGUGUGUGUGUAGUUACUAGUUAAGUUAUAGUUAAGCACUUAUAUAGUUAUAAACACAUAGUUAUAUUUUUUCCAUGUAAGUCUUAUUUGUUAAUUGUUAAACUUAGUUCUUAUUUUUAUUUGCUUAUGUAUUUGUUUUACUAUUAUGAAUGAAAUUUUCCCCCAUUAUAUUUUCAAAUUGGUUAACUGGUAUAUAGAAAAUAAUUUUGGAAUUGUAUUUUCCCAAACUUCUGUCACAUAUACUGUAGCUAAAUUUACAUGUCUAAACUUAUCCUAGGUCUGUGUUAUGGUCUGAGUUGAGUCCCCCCACUUCCCCCUAAAUUUAAAUGUUGAAGUCCCUCACGGACAUAGAGAACAGACUUGUGGUUGCCAAGGGGGAGGGAGGUGGGGGAGGGAUGGAGUGAGAGUUUGGGAUUAGCAGGUGCAAACUAUUACAUAUAGGAUGGAUAAACAAUAGGUCCUACUGUAUAACACGGGGAGCUAUAUUCAAUAUCCUGGGAUAAACCAUAAUAGAAAAGAAUAUAAAAAAGGAUGUACAUAUAUAUAUAACUGAAUCACUUUGCUGUACAGCAGAAAUUAACACAACAUUGUAAAUCAAAUAUACUGCAAUAAAAAAAAUCGAAUUUGAAGUCCGAACCUCUAGUACUUUAAAAUGUGGUAAAUUAAAGAGGUAAUUAAAUAAGAGUAAUUAAAGAGGUAAUUCAAUAAAAUGAGGUCAUUAGGGAGGAUCCUAAACCAGUAUCACUGGUAUUCUUAUUUUUAAGAAGAGGAAACUUGGAUAUAGACACACACACAGAGGGAAGAUCGUGUGAAGAUUCUGGGAGAAGACAGCCAUCUACAGGCCAAGGAUCUGGGCCUCAGGAGACGCCAACCCUGCUGACAUCUUAAUCUCUGACUUCUAGCUUCCAGAACUCACACUCUUACACUGGCCUCUAGUGUUUGCAGUCCACUGACCCCCCAACCUCAUGAAGCGUGGAGUGGCUCAGCGAUGGAACAAAGCAGGGGGUCCAAGCCUCCCGUGAAUCAUCAGCAACUUCCUGAUGCUGGAAAAGAGGAGCCUGACGACACAGAACCAGCCUCUUAAAAACAGCCUUUAAGUGUUGAAUCAUUAUGUUGUGUACCUGAAACGAACAUAAUAGUA